This 389-nucleotide long non-coding RNA is filed under the name Canis lupus familiaris (dog). RNAcentral's name for it is "lncRNA (ENSCAFG00040022549.1)". The record is from RNAcentral. Lineage: Eukaryota; Metazoa; Chordata; Mammalia; Carnivora; Canidae.
CAUCAACUCAGAGAGGACUGGCGCCCCAGGCCUGGAGUGGGGGGAUACUCAAGUCGGAUACUGUGUUUCUAAUUCUGUGGUGUCUACUGUUACUGUAAAACAACUAACAGCAACCACAAUUCACUUUUAUAACAGCGGUUCCGUUACCCGUGUAUCAGAGAACCGACAAAAGGGAGGUGCACCGUAUGCAGGUUAGGAGUGAAAAAAGCAAGCCCUCCCCAACCACCAUCCCAAGUAAAAUCGAUUCACAGUGAUUGCAGCAGCCAUUUGGAAGGAAAUGAAAGGAACCCUCUGCGUCAACCUUCCACCUUUUUCACAGACUGUUGGCCGAUUCCGUAAAGAUUCCGUCUGAACGAAGGAACUUGGCAUCAAGAGCAUUUAAUAGCAGG